AGGGGGAGGGGCACAGAGAGAGAAGGAGACACAGAACUGGAAGCAGGCUCCAGGUCUGAGCCUGACACAGGGCUCUAACUCACGAACCAUAAGAUCAUGACCUGAGCCGAAGUUGCACGCUUAACUGACUGAGCCACCUAGGCGCCCCUGUUUUAAUUUUUAAUUUAAAUACAAAAGUGAUAUAAAAUGUUUUCCAAUUAAACACAACUUUACAGUUUGGGUAUAACUACAUUUCUUUUUUUUGUUUCAAUAUAUGAAAUUUAUUGUCAAAUUGGUUUCCAUACAACACCCAGUGCUCCUCCCAAAAGGUGCCCUCCUAAAUACCCAUCACCCACCCUCCCCCCCCCCCCCAUCAACCCUCAGUUUGUUCUUAGUUUUUAAGAGUCUCUUAUGCUUUGGCUGUCUCCCACUCUAACCUCUUUUUUUUUUUUUUCCCCUUCCCCUCCCCCAUGGGUUUCUGUUAAGUUUCUCAGGAUCCACAUAAGGAAAUACAUUUCACCAUAACCACUGAAAAUUUAGCAUCCAAACUGAAAAGUGCUAUAACAAUAUGUAUCAGAUUUUGAAAACUCAGUAUGAAGAUAAGAAUGUAAAAUACUUCCAUUUAUAUUAUUACAUGUUGAAAUAAUAUUUUAGAUAUAUUGGUUAAUGGAUAUUAUACUUAAUUUCAACUGUUUCCUUUUACUUUCUAAACUGUGUACAAAAGAAAUUUUUAAAUUACACAAGUGGCUUGCAUUAUAUUACCUUUAGAUUCAAAUACCGUUAUAUUAUGCAGCCUCUCACAGUAUGUGGUCUGAAAAAGUCAUACUGCCAAAUCUCAAGACUUAGUUCUCACCACUCCAAGAGAUUGGAUUCUCAGGAAAAACUCCCUGCCCUUGUUCACACAGACCUCUCUUCACAAACUCCAAUCAUAUUCCUACUCCUAAAAUGUCUUACUGACUAAAAUCAAUGAAACCAUUUCCUACCUUCCUUUGUUUGAAAAUCAAGUCUGUGAAUAAAAUCAAAGGUGUCUGGUGUGUUAUUCUACCUAACCACCAGUCUCUUCCUUGACAAAACACACUCUAAAGUCCUUAGUUUAUCCUCGAAGAGUUCAACUAGUUCUAUUUCUGUACCAUCUUUAGGAAAGAAAACAGCACAUGAGGAAACUGAAUAAUUACCAAUAUGUAUAUGAAUAUUAACUGGGAAGGAAAAGGAAAAGCACUGGAAAAGAAGGGGACCCAUCCCUAUGGUCCUGUUAUUAACUGGGAAGGGGCAACCACCUAGGGAUCAGGUAAAUGGAUGGGUCACAAUUAGGUCAUACAAUCUAGAAGGAAAGCAAAUAUUUUAUGUUCUGUAAAGCAAAUAUAUAUGACAGAACAAAAAGUAAACACGAACUGACCUUGAACGCGCUGUUAAGUAGCAACACUCUCCUCUACUUCAGGAGGCUUCUCUUGCAGAACUACAAGACCAAGAAGGGACCCUUGAGGUUCUGGACAGGCUAAACAACACACUGUCCACCAUCAGACAUGACCCAUGACCCACCACAAAUAUAUCUAGAUGGAAUAAGAGAUAAAUAGAAUACUGCUGACUUUUAACAGUGUCACACUUAAAGGCCAUACCUAUAAACAGCGCUGGAAUCUAAGUUCACAGCAGUUUCUAGGGGGCACACUGUGGUUCUGAAAGCAAUGACUUCCCCUCUGAUGUCUAUUUCUUUAUAGAUAGAUCAAACUGGCUCUAAGAUGUAAGAACAGAGGAGAAUCCAGGGAAACACUUCCAAGUAACCAUGGAACCUACAGUGGACCCUGGGUGGGCAACACUCGCUUCCCCAAUAUCCCCUCUGUGUGAAGCACUCCUACAGGUUUACUGGGGAAAUUUUAAAAAAUCCUACCCACUGCGUUCAAACUUACAGUCGGUUACAACCCAGCUGUCACAGGAUCACUCGGUCACAGUAUCAGACACCUUUCGUCACCGUAGACUGUGUACUGACAGUCCCACUAGCCUUAUCGUAUACCAGUCUGGGCACUCCAGGGCCUGUCACACACACUCUCACACGCAUGCAGGCGUGUGCACUAAGAGUUCACAACGAACUUGUCACAGACAAUAACGCCCGAAACCACCGUCGUGCGAGGUUUACGCAAACACCGGGACAAGGCUCCUGGCUCCAUCUGCCUUACCCGCGCCCCGGGAGCUUAGGACCUCCAUACCGCGAGCUCCUCCCGUAACCCGACCUGGAUCACCUUAACUCACCAGGCAAAACCCAAUAACCACGAAGAUACCGGAAGCGGAACCAAAAGUCGAAGUCCAUUCGUGGCCCUGGGGCCUGUGGGAAACGUAGUCCAACACUAAAAAAAAAUGUUCUGGUUUUCGAGCGCGGCAGAGUACAACCUUCGCGAAUUUCACGUCACGCGCCCGAAACUCCUGAGAGUUCCGGGUGGGCUGAUCUUUCGUCCUCCGCGGAAGGUUGCCGGUGGCGGUUCUUAAAACAUGAAAGAGCCGGGUGAUGGUUUCGUGGGAGCGAGAGGUCUUUGCAUGAACUAGAGCCCAAGCCGAGAAAGUAAUCGGAAACCUGGGCAGGGAGGAAAGUAAAGGGAAGCGGAAGCCUGCCAGAGGCGGGGCAAGGAGGAAAACGGAGGCAGCCUGAGUCUGGGAAGACCGGGAGAGAACCGGAAACCCUAACCCAGGAGCGUUGAGGGAAUCGGAUCCAGGUUGAGGAGGGCCCGGGAGGCAAUCGAAUCCGUGCUGAGGGAUGUCGGGCAGAGAAGGGCUGAGGAGGGUACUGCAGUUCGGGCGGGAAGGCUGAGACUCACUGGAGAAUUUCUAAAGGAUGUACAUCAGCAAGAAGUAAGUUAAACCUGGAAAGACUGAAUGAGAUAAAAUCGGUAACUCAACUCAUAGGGGCGCCUGGGUGGCGUGGUCGGUUAAGCGUCCAACUUCAGCCAGGUCACGAUCUCGCGGUCCGGGAGUUCGAGCCCCACGUCAGGCUCUGGGCUGAUGGCUCAGAGCCUGGAGCCUGUUUCCGAUUCUAUGUCUCCCUCUCUCUCUGCCCCUCCCCCGUUCAUGCUCUGUCUCUCUCUGUCCCAAAAAUAAAUAAACGUUGAAAAAAAAAAUUAAAAAAAAAAAA
Molecule: long non-coding RNA, 3097 nt
Organism: Acinonyx jubatus (cheetah)
Lineage: Eukaryota; Metazoa; Chordata; Mammalia; Carnivora; Felidae
Exons: 3
Source: RefSeq, a predicted model, not a curated record